GUCUCUAUCCGCUGUGGGCGUAAGGGAUUUGAAGGGAGCUGCUCCUAGUACGAGAGGACCGGAGUGGACAGACCUCUAGUGUGCCAGUUGUUCCGCCAGGAGCAUCGCUGGGUAGCCAUGUCUGGCAGAGAUAACCGCUGAAAGCAUCUAAGUGGGAAACUCGCCCUAAGAUUAGAUCCCUGUGACCCGUAAGGGUGUAAGACCCCAGAUAGACUAUCUGGUUGAUAGGCAGUAUGUGUAAGCACAGUAAUGUGUUAAGCUAAGCUGUACUAAUGGUCGAGGGCUUCCUUUA
RNAcentral lists this ribosomal RNA (292 nucleotides) under Anaerolineales bacterium. Its description in RNAcentral is "partial 23S ribosomal RNA". It matches the Rfam family "Bacterial large subunit ribosomal RNA", at positions 2634 to 2925 of the family's 2925-position model. The record is from RNAcentral. Lineage: Bacteria; Bacillati; Chloroflexota; Anaerolineae; Anaerolineales.